CUGGCGGCAUGCCUUACACAUGCAAGUCGAACGGCAGCACGGGAGCAAUCCUGGUGGCGAGUGGCGAACGGGUGAGUAAUGUAUCGGAACGUACCUUUCAGUGGGGGAUAACGUAGCGAAAGUUACGCUAAUACCGCAUAUUCUGUGCGCAGGAAAGCAGGGGAUCGCAAGACCUUGCGCUGAUUGAGCGGCCGAUAUCAGAUUAGCUAGUUGGUGAGGUAAAGGCUCACCAAGGCGACGAUCUGUAGCGGGUCUGAGAGGAUGAUCCGCCACACUGGAACUGAGACACGGUCCAGACUCCUACGGGAGGCAGCAGUGGGGAAUUUUGGACAAUGGGGGCAACCCUGAUCCAGCCAUGCCGCGUGAGUGAAGAAGGCCUUCGGGUUGUAAAGCUCUUUCGGCCGGGAAGAAAUCGCAUGGGUUAAUACCCUGUGCGGAUGACGGUACCGGCAUAAGAAGCACCGGCUAACUACGUGCCAGCAGCCGCGGUAAUACGUAGGGUGCGAGC
Molecule: ribosomal RNA, 508 nt
Filed under: uncultured bacterium
Lineage: Bacteria
Description: bacterial SSU rRNA
Rfam family: Bacterial small subunit ribosomal RNA
Source: RNAcentral